This 385-nucleotide ribosomal RNA is filed under the name uncultured bacterium. RNAcentral describes it as "bacterial SSU rRNA". It matches the Rfam family "Bacterial small subunit ribosomal RNA", at positions 355 to 737 of the family's 1533-position model. The record is from RNAcentral.
UAAGGAAUAUUGGUCAAUGGACGCAAGUCUGAACCAGCCAUGCCGCGUGGAGGAUGAAGGCCCUCUGGGUUGUAAACUUCUUUUAUCUGGGACGAAACCCAUCCAUUCUUGGGUGAUUGACGGUACCAGAGGAAUAAGCACCGGCUAACUCCGUGCCAGCAGCCGCGGUAAUACGGAGGGUGCAAGCGUUAUCCGGAUUCACUGGGUUUAAAGGGUGCGUAGGCGGGCAGGUAAGUCAGUGGUGAAAUCUCCAAGCUUAACUUGGAAACUGCCGUUGAUACUAUCUGUCUUGAAUACUGUGGAGGUGAGCGGAAUAUGUCAUGUAGCGGUGAAAUGCUUAGAUAUGACAUAGAACACCAAUUGCGAAGGCAGCUCACUACACAGC